This 939-nucleotide long non-coding RNA is filed under the name Homo sapiens (human). Its description in RNAcentral is "HSALNT0061847". The record is from RNAcentral. Lineage: Eukaryota; Metazoa; Chordata; Mammalia; Primates; Hominidae.
GCCAGAGCCUGCCGCGACGAUUUGGAAAGCGCCCCGCCAGGCUGCGGGGUGGCGGGAGGGUCCCUCAAACGCUGACGACCCAGCCUUCGGUGGAGGUGUUGUGGGGAAGUCUCGCUGUUGCACCCCCUACACCUACCCCCGAAGACUGUUUCCAUGCUUUCAAUAAAUCCACCAAUGCAAAAAUUUCCCUUUACGCACUCCAUCCCACCCCUGUCCUUUCUCCACAACUUUCAGUUUUCUUAGUCAGAGGCUAGCAUUUUCGCGGAUGAAUGGAAAAUGUUUAAAAAGGAAUCGCGAUGCGAGCUUCUCUCACCGUUUGUGUUCCCGCUUACUGUAACUUCAUGGACAUUGUUACACAAAAGAAAGACGUGAAAAUGUCACUGCGUAACUUUCACAACCGGUGGAUUUUCCUGGAUAUGCUUACAGAGAUGUCUGACAACCAUCAGAGGCAGCCAAAGUAUUGUGGACAGUUGACACAAUGUCAGUCUGUGGCAUCUUCACUGCCAAGUGAUAUUUCCACUCUAGAUAGCUAAACCCGAUUUUUUAAAAACUCACCUUUGGUAUAUAACAUCAGUUGGAAACUUCACACUGUUUUAGUUCUUCACUCUAAAGUGGAUAUCAACUUUAGUAACUGAUGACAGAUCCCAGCUUCCACAGUAAAAAUAGCCUCUGGUUUGGCCUGAUGUGUUUCCUCUUGCUAAGGAAGGGACUCUGGAGCAAACCAGCCUUGCAUAGAUUUAAGGAGAACAUUAUUCAUAUUUUGCACCUAUUACACCAUUGUAUUUGCAAUAAACUUUAAGGAAAAGGAUUGAAUGUGACAUAAGAAGUUAACAUUUUUUGUAUUUCUUGCCCCAAAAUAGUGCUUAUCAUUUUUUAAAAAUUGCUAUAUGGUUACCCAUAAUAAUCUUACUUUCUAUAUCUAACUAGUUUAAAUGGUAC